Molecule: long non-coding RNA, 1816 nt
Organism: Astatotilapia calliptera (eastern happy)
Lineage: Eukaryota; Metazoa; Chordata; Actinopteri; Cichliformes; Cichlidae
Source: Ensembl
GGUUCAUGUUGGCUGAUUAUAAAAAGAGGAGAUGAAGUCAGAGAACAUCACUUUCUUUCACUGCAGUGGACGACUUACAAGCAAAGAAAUACUAUAGACAGGAGCAGAAAAUCAGCAUCACCAUGAUCGCAAAGAUGUUUGUCAUCGUUCUUCUUGUUGUUGCCUGCUGCAACGCAGCGACAACAACCACAACUGCAGCGACAACAACCACAUCUGCAGCGACAACAACCACAUCUGCAGCGACAACAACCACAGCUACAGGGACAACAACCACAGCUGUUCGAACAACAACCACAGCUGCAGCGACAACAACUACAGCUGCUCCAACAACAACCACAGCUGCACCGACAAGAACUACAGCUGCGACAACAACAACCACAGCUGCACCAACAACAACUACAGCUGUUCCAACAACAACCACAGCUGUUCCAACAACAACCACAACUGCAGCGACAACAACCACAGCUGCUCCAACAACAACCACAGCUGCACCGACAACAACUACAGUUGCGACAACAACAACCACAGCUGCUCCAACAACAACUACAGUUGCAGCGACAACAACUACAGCUGUUCCAACAACAACCACAGCUGCUCCAACAACAACCACAGCUGCACCGACAACAACUACAGUUGCGACAACAACAACUACAGUUGCAGCAACAACAACUACAGCUGCACCGACAACAACUACAGCUGCGACAACAACAACCACAGCUGCUCCAACAACAACUACAGUUGCAGCGACAACAACUACAGCUGUUCCAACAACAACCACAACUGCUCCAACAACAACCACAGCUGCCCCAACAACAACCACAGCUGCUCCAACAACAACCACAACUGCAGCGACAACAACCACAGCUGCUCCAACAACAACCACAGCUGCUCCAACAACAACCACAACUGCACCAACAACAACCACAGCUGCUCCAACAACAACCACAGCUGCAGGGACAACAACCACAGCUGCUCCAACAACAACCACAGUUGCAGCAACAACAACUACAGCUGCUCCAACAACAACCACAGCUGCACCAACAACAACCACAGCUGCACCAACAACAACCACAGCUGCUCCAACAACAACCACAGCUGCUAGGACAACAACCACAGCUGCUCCAACAACAACUACAGUUGCAGAAACAACAACUACAGUUGCAGCAACAACAACUACAGCUGCACCAACAACAACCACAACUGCAGCGACAACAACCACAGCUGCUCCAACAACAACCACAGCUGCACCAACAACAACCACAGCUGCUCCAACAACAACCACAGCUGCAGGGACAACAACCACAGCUGCUCCAACAACAACUACAGUUGCAGCAACAACAACUACAGCUGCACCGACAACAACUACAGCUGCGACAACAACAACCACAGCUGCUCCAACAACAACUACAGUUGCAGCGACAACAACUACAGUUGCAGCAACAACAACUACAGCUGCACCGACAACAACUACAGCUGCACCGACAACAACUACAGCUGCGACAACAACAACCACAGUUGCAGCAACAACAACUACAGUUGCUCCAACAACAACCACAGCUGCACCAACAACAACCACAGCUGCACCAACAACAACCACAGCUGCUGGGACAACAACCACAGCUGCUGGGACAACAACCACAGCUGCUCCAACAACAACUACAGUUGCAGAAACAACAACUACAGUUGCAGCAACAACAACUACAGCUGCACCAACAACAACCACAGCUGCAGGGACAACAACCACAGCUGCUCCAACAACAACUACAGUUGCAGCAACAACAACUACAGUUGCUGCAACAACAACUACAGCUGCACC